AUCAGGAAGAAUGAAAAGAAAAAAAUCCACAUUACUUUAACGAAGCGUUUUACAUUGGAGCCACUUUCUUUAGACACGGGAUCCCGAUGUCUAAUUUUUAUACAUUUCGUUUUACUUUGUACGCUCGACGGCGCGUAACAGAUAGUCGAAUCGUGUGUCACAUACAUCUAUGUGGGUACACGCCGGCGAUGACUGCAGCAUACACAUAUUGUGACAAAAAGUUUUUUUUCAUUGACGUAUUAUUAUUAUAAAAAAUAAUAACACGUAGGUAUAUGGUUUUUUCGACAUA
Long non-coding RNA from Aphis gossypii (cotton aphid), 289 nucleotides. RefSeq lists it as uncharacterized. The record is from RefSeq and is a predicted model, not a curated record. NCBI's taxonomy places the organism in Eukaryota, Metazoa, Arthropoda, Insecta, Hemiptera, Aphididae. The transcript is spliced from 2 exons.